CACCGAAGCUGCGGAUUGAUACCAAUGGUAUCAGUGGUAGGGGAGCGUUCUAAGGACAGUGAAGUCAGACCGGAAGGACUGGUGGAGUGCUUAGAAGUGAGAAUGCCGGUAUGAGUAGCGAAAGACGGGUGAGAAUCCCGUCCACCGAAUGCCUAAGGUUUCCUGAGGAAGGCUCGUCCGCUCAGGGUUAGUCAGGACCUAAGCCGAGGCCGACAGGCGUAGGCGAUGGACAACAGGUUGAUAUUCCUGUACCACCUCUUUAUCGUUUGAGCAAUGGAGGGACGCAGAAGGAUAGAAGAAGCGUGCGAUUGGUUGUGCACGUCCAAGCAGUUAGGCUGAUAAGUAGGCAAAUCCGCUUAUCGUGAAGGCUGAGCUGUGAUGGGGAAGCUCCUUAUGGAGCGAAGUCUUUGAUUCCCCGCUGCCAAGAAAAGCUUCUAGCGAGAUAAAAGGUGCCUGUACCGCAAACCGACACAGGUAGGCGAGGAGAGAAUCCUAAGGUGUGCGAGAGAACUCUGGUUAAGGAACUCGGCAAAAUGACCCCGUAACUUCGGGAGAAGGGGUGCUUUCUUAACGGAAAGCCGCAGUGAAUAGGCCCAAGCGACUGUUUAGCAAAAACACAGCUCUCUGCGAAGCCGUAAGGCGAAGUAUAGGGGGUGACACCUGCCCGGUGCUGGAAGGUUAAGGAGAGGGGUUAGCGUAAGCGAAGCUCUGAACUGAAGCCCCAGUAAACGGCGGCCGUAACUAUAACGGUCCUAAGGUAGCGAAAUUCCUUGUCGGGUAAGUUCCGACCCGCACGAAAGGUGUAACGAUUUGGGCACUGUCUCAACCAGAGACUCGGUGAAAUUAUAGUACCUGUGAAGAUGCAGGUUACCCGCGACAGGACGGAAAGACCCCGUGGAGCUUUACUGUAGCCUGAUAUUGAAUUUUGGUACAGUUUGUACAGGAUAGGCGGGAGCCUUUGAAACCGGAGCGCUAGCUUCGGUGGAGGCGCUGGUGGGAUACCGCCCUGACUGUAUUGAAAUUCUAACCUACGGGUCUUAUCGACCCGGGAGACAGUGUCAGGUGGGCAGUUUGACUGGGGCGGUCGCCUCCUAAAGUGUAACGGAGGCGCCCAAAGGUUCCCUCAGAAUGGUUGGAAAUCAUUCGUAGAGUGCAAAGGCAUAAGGGAGCUUGACUGCGAGACCUACAAGUCGAGCAGGGACGAAAGUCGGGCUUAGUGAUCCGGUGGUUCCGCAUGGAAGGGCCAUCGCUCAACGGAUAAAAGCUACCCCGGGGAUAACAGGCUUAUCUCCCCCAAGAGUCCACAUCGACGGGGAGGUUUGGCACCUCGAUGUCGGCUCAUCGCAUCCUGGGGCUGUAGUCGGUCCCAAGGGUUGGGCUGUUCGCCCAUUAAAGCGGUACGCGAGCUGGGUUCAGAACGUCGUGAGACAGUUCGGUCCCUAUCCGUCGUGGGCGUAGGAAAUUUGAGAGGAGCUGUCCUUAGUACGAGAGGACCGGGAUGGACGCACCGCUGGUGUACCAGUUGUUCUGCCAAGGGCAUAGCUGGGUAGCUAUGUGCGGAAGGGAUAAGUGCUGAAAGCAUCUAAGCAUGAAGCCCCCCUCAAGAUGAGAUUUCCCAUAGCGUAAGCUAGUAAGAUCCCUGAAAGAUGAUCAGGUUGAUAGGUUCGAGGUGGAAGCAUGGUGACAUGUGGAGCUGACGAAUACUAAUAGAUCGAGGACUUAACCAUAUAA
Molecule: ribosomal RNA, 1731 nt
Filed under: Bacillus anthracis (anthrax bacterium)
Lineage: Bacteria; Bacillati; Bacillota; Bacilli; Caryophanales; Bacillaceae
Description: bacterial LSU rRNA
Rfam family: Bacterial large subunit ribosomal RNA
Source: RNAcentral